GUGGGGAAUUUUGCGCAAUGGGCGAAAGCCUGACGCAGCGACGCCGCGUGGGUGAUGAAGGCCUUCGGGUUGUAAAGCCCUGUGGGGAGGGAAGAAUAAGGGGCGGCUAAUACCCGCACCGAUGACGGUACCUCCUUAGCAAGCACCGGCUAACUCUGUGCCAGCAGCCGCGGUAAGACAGAGGGUGCAAACGUUGUUCGGAAUUACUGGGCGUAAAGCGCGUGUAGGCGGUCUAGCAAGUCGGAUGUGAAAGCCCUUGGCUCAACUGAGGAAGUGCAUUCGAAACUGCGAGACUUGAGUCCCGGAGAGGAUGGUGGAAUUCUCGGUGUAGAGGUGAAAUUCGUAGAUAUCGAGAGGAACACCGGUGGCGAAGGCGGCCAUCUGGACGGUGACUGACGCUGAGACGCGAAAGCAUGGGGAGCAAACAGGAUUAGAAACCCUAGUAGUCC
RNAcentral lists this ribosomal RNA (449 nucleotides) under uncultured bacterium. RNAcentral's name for it is "bacterial SSU rRNA". It matches the Rfam family "Bacterial small subunit ribosomal RNA", at positions 354 to 796 of the family's 1533-position model. The record is from RNAcentral.